RNAcentral lists this transfer RNA (87 nucleotides) under Thermohalobacter berrensis. RNAcentral describes it as "tRNA-Leu". It matches the Rfam family "tRNA". Rfam says of the family: Transfer RNA (tRNA) molecules are approximately 80 nucleotides in length. Lineage: Bacteria; Bacillati; Bacillota; Tissierellia; Tissierellales; Thermohalobacteraceae. The record is from RNAcentral.
GCCGUGGUGGUGGAACUGGCAGACACGUAGUCUUGAGGGGGCUAUGCUCAAAUGAGCGUGCGGGUUCGAGUCCCGCCCACGGCACCA